Molecule: ribosomal RNA, 877 nt
Filed under: uncultured eukaryote
Lineage: Eukaryota
Description: SSU rRNA
Rfam family: Eukaryotic small subunit ribosomal RNA
Source: RNAcentral
CGGUGUCCAACUGGCGUGUCCGCGGGACGUCCUGCCGGUGGGCUUAGCCCGCAAGGGCGGCCCAACUUCAAAUCCCAUCGCGGUGCUCUUCACUGAGUGUCGAGGUGGGCCGGCACGUUUACUUUGAACAAAUUAGAGUGCUUAAAGCAGGCUAAAACUUCGCCUGAAUACUGUGUGCAUGGAAUAAUGGAAUAGGACCUCGGUUCUAUUUUGUUGGUUUUCGGAACCCCGAGGUAAUGAUUAAUAGGAACGGAUGGGGGCAUUCGUAUUGCGACGUUAGAGGUGAAAUUCUUGGAUCGUCGCAAGACGGACAGAAGCGAAAGCAUUUGCCAAAAACGCUUUCAUUGAUCAAGAACGAAAGUUAGAGGUUCGAAGGCGAUCAGAUACCGCCCUAGUUCUAACCAUAAACGAUGCCAGCUAGCGAUCCGUCGACGUUCCUCCGAUGACUCGACGGGCAGCUUCCGGGAAACCAAAGCUUUUGGGUUCCGGGGGAAGUAUGGUUGCAAAGCUGAAACUUAAAGGAAUUGACGGAAGGGCACCACCAGGAGUGGAGCCUGCGGCUUAAUUUGACUCAACACGGGAAACCUCACCAGGCCCGGACACCGGAAGGAUUGACAGAUUGAGAGCUCUUUCUUGAUUCGGUGGGUGGUGGUGCAUGGCCGUUCUUAGUUGGUGGAGCGAUUUGUCUGGUUAAUUCCGAUAACGAACGAGACUCUAGCCUGCUAACUAGGCGUAUUUUCGACAUCUCAAAGGUCCGUCGUCCCGGCCCUCGGGUCGUGGGCGUGUGCGAUUUUUACUGUCGGCGUACUAUCAAUUCUUCUUAGAGGGACAGGUGGCUUCUAGCCGCACGAGAUUGAGCAAUAACAGGUCUGUGAUG